GACGAACGCUGGCGGCGUGCUUAACACAUGCAAGUCGAACGGAAAGGCCCUGCUUUUGUGGGGUGCUCGAGUGGCGAACGGGUGAGUAACACGUGAGUAACCUGCCCUUGACUUUGGGAUAACUUCAGGAAACUGGGGCUAAUACCGGAUAGGAGCUCCUGCUGCAUGGGGGGGGUGGGAAAGUUUCGGCGGUUGGGGAUGGACUCGCGGCUUAUCCGCUUGUUGGUGGGGUAGUGGCUUACCAAGGCUUUGACGGGUAGCCGGCCUGAGAGGGUGACCGGCCACAUUGGGACUGAGAUACGGCCCAGACUCCUACGGGAGGCAGCAGUGGGGAAUAUUGCACAAUGGGCGGAAGCCUGAUGCAGCACCGCCGCGUGCGGGAUGACGUCCUUCGGGUUGUAAACCGCUUUCGCCUGUGACGAAGCGUGCGUGACGGUAAUGGGUAAAGAAGCACCGGCUAACUACGUG
RNAcentral lists this ribosomal RNA (468 nucleotides) under uncultured bacterium. RNAcentral describes it as "partial 16S ribosomal RNA". It matches the Rfam family "Bacterial small subunit ribosomal RNA", at positions 28 to 507 of the family's 1533-position model. The record is from RNAcentral.